Molecule: ribosomal RNA, 433 nt
Filed under: uncultured bacterium
Lineage: Bacteria
Description: partial 16S ribosomal RNA
Rfam family: Bacterial small subunit ribosomal RNA
Source: RNAcentral
AACGAACGCUGGCGGCAUGCCUAACACAUGCAAGUCGAACGAGACCUUCGGGUCUAGUGGCGCACGGGUGCGUAACGCGUGGGAACCUGCCCUUAGGUUCGGAAUAACUCCCCGAAAGGGGUGUUAAUACCGGAUAAUGUCUUCGGACCAAAGAUUUAUCGCCUUUGGAUGGGCCCGCGUUGGAUUAGCUAGUUGGUAGGGUAAAAGCCUACCAAGGCGACGAUCCAUAGCUGGUCUGAGAGGAUGAUCAGCCACACUGGGACUGAGACACGGCCCAGACUCCUACGGGAGGCAGCAGUGGGGAAUAUUGGACAAUGGGCGAAAGCCUGAUCCAGCAAUGCCGCGUGAGUGAUGAAGGCCUUAGGGUUGUAAAGCUCUUUUACCCGGGAUGAUAAUGACAGUACCGGGAGAAUAAGCGCCGGCUAACUCCGUG